RNAcentral lists this ribosomal RNA (354 nucleotides) under uncultured bacterium. RNAcentral describes it as "partial 16S ribosomal RNA". It matches the Rfam family "Bacterial small subunit ribosomal RNA", at positions 338 to 709 of the family's 1533-position model. The record is from RNAcentral.
CCUACGGGAGGCAGCAGUAGGGAAUAUUGCUCAAUGGGGGAAACCCUGACGCAGCAACGCCGCGUGGAGGAUGAAGGUUUUCGGAUUGUAAACUCCUUUUGUUAGAGAAGAUAAUGACGGUAUCUAACGAAUAAGCACCGGCUAACUCCGUGCCAGCAGCCGCCGUAAUACGGCGGGCGCAAGCGUUACUCGGAAGCAAUGGGCGUAAAGAGCGCGUAGGCGGGUUUGCAAGUCAUAAGUGAAAUACUAGGGCUUAACCAUAGAAAGGCAAUUGAAACUGUAAUUCUAGAGUAUGAGAGAGGAAGGUAGAAUUCUUGGUGUAGGGGUAAAAGCCGUAGAGAUCAGGAGGAAUAC